AGAAUUCCCAUAGCGGUGAAGUGAUAGAUUCCUGGUUGACUGAUGGGCUUCGAAAGGGCGGUGUAAAUGUAAUGAAGAUCGUGAAUCUCUGGUGGGGAGACAAGCAGAGAUAUGGCAAAAAUACAGAACAGUCUUAGGAAAAUCAUCUUGGUACCAAUUUCUCAAUCGAUAAACCAAGGAAAUAGUACAGUGUGCACUUGAGUGUUUCCGUAAAAAUACGAAACGUAUUUUCCCGUCCGAUCCGAAGA
Anguilla rostrata (American eel) is the source of this 248-nucleotide long non-coding RNA. RefSeq lists it as uncharacterized. The record is from RefSeq and is a predicted model, not a curated record. NCBI's taxonomy places the organism in Eukaryota, Metazoa, Chordata, Actinopteri, Anguilliformes, Anguillidae. The transcript is spliced from 2 exons.